RNAcentral lists this transfer RNA (140 nucleotides) under Xanthomonas campestris. RNAcentral describes it as "tRNA-Val". The record is from RNAcentral. RNAcentral also lists the same sequence under 3 other names. Lineage: Bacteria; Pseudomonadati; Pseudomonadota; Gammaproteobacteria; Lysobacterales; Lysobacteraceae.
GGCGCUGUGGAGCUGGAAGAACGACGACGAAACCUUCGGUGCGUUGAUCUCCGCCACGCAUGACAAGCAGGACCUGGCACGCGCGGGUAUCGAAUACUUCGGCUACACCACCGGCGCCAACAUUCCCGCCAGCGCCACCA